AAUUUUGGACAAUGGGGGCAACCCUGAUCCAGCCAUUCCGCGUGAGUGAAGAAGGCCUUCGGGUUGUAAAGCUCUUUCAGCUGGAACGAAACGGUACGUCCUAAUACGGUGUGCUAAUGACGGUACCAGCAGAAGAAGCACCGGCUAACUACGUGCCAGCAGCCGCGGUAAUACGUAGGGUGCGAGCGUUAAUCGGAAUUACUGGGCGUAAAGCGUGCGCAGGCGGAUUGUUAAGCAAGAUGUGAAAUCCCCGGGCUUAACCUGGGAAUGGCAUUUUGAACUGGCAGUCUAGAGUGUGUCAGAGGGGGGUGGAAUUCCACGUGUAGCAGUGAAAUGCGUAGAUAUGUGGAGGAACACCAAUGGCGAAGGCAGCCCCCUGGGAUAACACUGACGCUCAUGUACGAAAGCGUGGGUAGCAA
Molecule: ribosomal RNA, 419 nt
Filed under: uncultured Thiobacillus sp.
Lineage: Bacteria; Pseudomonadati; Pseudomonadota; Betaproteobacteria; Nitrosomonadales; Thiobacillaceae
Description: bacterial SSU rRNA
Rfam family: Bacterial small subunit ribosomal RNA
Source: RNAcentral